Molecule: ribosomal RNA, 280 nt
Filed under: Neoboletus sp. NKZ-2020a
Lineage: Eukaryota; Fungi; Basidiomycota; Agaricomycetes; Boletales; Boletaceae
Description: partial large subunit ribosomal RNA
Rfam family: Eukaryotic large subunit ribosomal RNA
Source: RNAcentral
UUCGGCCGUCCGAGUUGUAAUCUAGAGAAGCGUUUUCCGCGCUGGACCGUGUAUAAGUCUCCUGGAAGGGAGCGUCGUAGAGGGUGAGAAUCCCGUCUUUGACACGGACUACCAGUGCUAUGUGAUGCGCUCUCGACGAGUCGAGUUGUUUGGGAAUGCAGCUCAAAAUGGGUGGUAAAUUCCAUCUAAAGCUAAAUACAGGCGAGAGACCGAUAGCGAACUAGUACCGUGAGGGAAAGAUGAAAAGAACUUUGGAUAGAGAGUUAAACUUUCGUGUUAU